AUCCCAUAAUGACUCUCCUUAAGUUUACGAAGGCGAACACUGGGUGCUUAAGGACCUCGUGGAAAACCAAGAUUGAAGAUGGAUGAAUUAAAUCACAAUGACUAAGAUGGAAGCUGCUGUCACCUUGGAGCACUGGGACUAUAAUUCCCCAUGUCACCACAGUACUGGGUAGUCCUUCUACCUGAGUGAGGAGUUAAGUCUGCAGCCAUGACCUGACUGGUGUUACAGGAUCUGGAUACUGCGCUAUGGCUUGUCUGAAAGGAGUCUGCCUGACGGUUCCACACCUGUGAUCACGAACUUCUCCACACGUGAUGAACCAUUAAAGAUGAAAGUCAUUAUCAGGGUGAGUUGUGUAAUGCAGCAUGGGGGUUGGGGUCUAAAUAAUGUAAUCAAUUUAACCAUUGGUCUUGGAGAUACCGCCCGAUAAAAUGAAGACUAUAAAUCUGGAGCUGGGCUAUUGCAGAUAAACAAUGUCAUUUUAUAAUUGUAGCUCAAUACUGUCAAGCGGGGCUUGAAGAGCUUAUGUCUUGAGUUUGGUCAAUGAUGAUUCAGUUUUUGGUUCAACUGAUUUAAACUGAAGUUUACUCGCAGCGCACUGAGACCACUCUUGACUGUUGCUGCUCCUGUUGAGUGUGUGUGUGCAAGCCAAACACCGAUAAUCACUGUUUCAUAUCUUGUCAGGUAUGACCGUGGCUGCCAAAGUUGGACGCAAUGAACUGGUGUGCUGGGACUGUUACAAGCUUCAGAGAUGGUCUAUAUGAAGCCAUCAGAAAGUGACCGCCUGGAUUCAGUCAUAUAAUCUGCCUUUUGAAAUCUGGUUUCAUUUUCGUACAAAGCGAUUCCCCUUCAACUGUUAACCUUCACAUGCAGAUGUAUUUUCCAAUAAAUGUUUGACAAAAUUAUUCUUUAUCUGUUCUUUCAAACUUUAUUUUUAGCUGUCAAAUGUGCAAGCAAAUGGCUCUAUAGUUUAGAA
This 973-nucleotide long non-coding RNA is filed under the name Cottoperca gobio. RNAcentral's name for it is "lncRNA (ENSCGOG00000013364.1)". Lineage: Eukaryota; Metazoa; Chordata; Actinopteri; Perciformes; Bovichtidae. The record is from RNAcentral.